RNAcentral lists this ribosomal RNA (481 nucleotides) under uncultured bacterium. Its description in RNAcentral is "partial 16S ribosomal RNA". It matches the Rfam family "Bacterial small subunit ribosomal RNA", at positions 28 to 523 of the family's 1533-position model. The record is from RNAcentral.
GAUGAACGCUGGCGGCGUGCUUAACACAUGCAAGCCGAACGGUGAAGCCAAGCUUGCUUGGUGGAUCAAUGGCGAACGGGUGAGUAACACGUGAGCAACCUGCCCUGGACUCUGGGAUAAGCGCUGGAAACGGCGUCUAAUACUGGAUAUGAGCUUCUACCGCAUGGUGGGGGGUGGAAAGAUUUUUUGGUCUGGGAUGGGCUCGCGGCCUAUCAGCUUGUUGGUGAGGUAAUGGCUCACCAAGGCGUCGACGGGUAGCCGGCCUGAGAGGGUGACCGGCCACACUGGGACUGAGACACGGCCCAGACUCCUACGGGAGGCAGCAGUGGGGAAUAUUGCACAAUGGGCGGAAGCCUGAUGCAGCAACGCCGCGUGAGGGAUGACGGCCUUCGGGUUGUAAACCUCUUUUAGCAGGAAGAAGCGAAAGUGACGGUACCUGCAGAAAAAGCGCCGGCUAACUACGUGCCAGCCGCCGCGGUAA